UUAGAUACCCUAUUAUAUUUUUUCUGAACUACCGUGUGCCUGAUUAUUAAUAGCUAUAAUCUUCAAAAUCAAAGAAUUUGGCGGUGAUUUAGCCUUAUUAGGGGAACCUGUUUUUUAAACGAUAAACCACGUAGUAUCUUACCUGUUAUUUAUAGUUUGUAUACCGUCAUUAAGAUAACUUUUAAAAAAUAAGUUAUUAAAAUAAGUAAGUCUUAUUAUAUUAGAUCAAGGUGCAGCAAAUGAAUAGGUUAAAAUGGGUUACAAUAGAACUUGUCUAAUUACGGAGGCUCCUGUGAAACUGGGGGUUGAAGGGGGACUUAAAAGUAAAGUUGUUUUAAUAAGGAAACUCGAAUUUAGCACUAAAUCAUGUACAUAUCGCCCGUCGCUCGCGGGAAAAA
Molecule: ribosomal RNA, 398 nt
Filed under: Dardanus fucosus
Lineage: Eukaryota; Metazoa; Arthropoda; Malacostraca; Decapoda; Diogenidae
Description: partial 12S ribosomal RNA
Rfam family: Microsporidia small subunit ribosomal RNA (bases 42-398)
Source: RNAcentral